Molecule: transfer RNA, 77 nt
Filed under: Tabrizicola sp.
Lineage: Bacteria; Pseudomonadati; Pseudomonadota; Alphaproteobacteria; Rhodobacterales; Paracoccaceae
Description: tRNA-Pro
Rfam family: tRNA
About the family: Transfer RNA (tRNA) molecules are approximately 80 nucleotides in length. Their secondary structure includes four short double-helical elements and three loops (D, anti-codon, and T loops).
Source: RNAcentral
CGGAGCGUAGCGCAGUCUGGUAGCGCACCUGCUUCGGGAGCAGGGGGUCGGAGGUUCGAAUCCUCUCGAUCCGACCA